AGGACAGAAGAGCUCACAUCAGUUCAGCUUCAACAUCAACAUGUUCUCUGCAGCUCUGAUACUGCUGCUGGCAGCUGGAUCCUGUGUGAACAGUAUUGAUCUCAUCCAGCCAGACACGAUGGUUGUGCAGCCUGGACAGUCUUUGACCAUCACCUGUCAGGUCUCUGGUUAUUCUUUGACUGAUAACAGCUAUGCAACAGCUUGGAUCAGACAGCCUGCAGGGAAAGGACUGGAGUGGAUUGGAAUGAAAUUUACUGGAGCUUCAUACUACAAAGAUUCACUAAAGAACAAGUUCAGUAUCGACUUAGACUCUUCCAGCAACACAGUGACUCUAAACGGACAGAAUGUGCAGCCUGAAGACACUGCUGUGUAUUACUGUGCCAGAGAGCCACAGUGAGAGACAAUAACAGGAGAGUCAUA
Micropterus salmoides (largemouth bass) is the source of this 420-nucleotide non-coding RNA. NCBI's taxonomy places the organism in Eukaryota, Metazoa, Chordata, Actinopteri, Centrarchiformes, Centrarchidae. The record is from the annotation of a RefSeq genome assembly.